ACGGUAAUGACUGUAGUCUAAAAUCUGUUGGUCGCUUAAAUGUUGGUUUAGUUCUGUAUAUCGGAGGUCUCAUGGAAUCAAUCAUCUUCCACAACUAUUAACAUUUAUGAUUUUCCAGCUAGCGUGAUUUUCACUCAGUCCAAUGAUUAUCUUGCACGACUCCUAUUGUACUUUGCCAUUGCAGUGAAGAACUUUCUGGUGAGACAACAGUCUUCAGUGAAGUCUUUGAGGUGAUACAUUCAUUUUGUUCAACCAACAGUUGAUAGGGAGCAAAAGAGGGUUAGAAAACAUCUUGGAGUUCCAAUCUUUAUCUUUGUAUGACUUCAUAUGAAAAGGUACACCAUAGCAUAUAUGAAUCUCUAUGUUUCUACAAUCCUUGUAUAGCUGUAUUGUUUUCCAGACUUAACGACAAAAACACAACCAGUAAUUUUUCAGUUGUUCUUGUUUUUUAGUUGAGCAACAAGUCUUGUUGUACAGUUCUCCUUCCAGAUUACAUGAAGUUUAAUGGAUAUCUUCUUUUGAUUACUUAACAUGUACAUUUUUUGGUUUUUAAUCGUGAAUUUGCUUCUGUCUUUUGUUGUAAGCAGCUAAAUCUCUAAUGUGUCUCUCAUUUUCUUGUUUGUAUGGGUCUUUGUCGAUCGGAUAUGGUUGUAAACUGUGAUAGUGAGGGGUUGAUUAUUAUGUUAACCUUUAGAAACUCACAUGUUGAUUUAAUUUGAUUGUUAUUGCUGUAUGUGUAUUCUGAUCUGUCCGUAGCUCUGUCACUCAUUCUAUCUUGUAAAGCAACUGUUUUGGAUAUGGGCAUUCACGGCACUGACAAGCAUUCCUGUUCUAUUUCUUUUAUUUGGCUCUCUAUUGGAAACUUUAUAUGAUUUGGAAGUGUGGUAGUUUUAAAUACUGUGAUCCUUUAAAUUGAUUGUAAUGCCAUGAUUUACUUAUAAUUUGUGCGAAGUUGUGGUGGUCAUGAAUCAUGUAGUGACUGCAUAAGGCUUGGUUCCAUUUUUAUUGGCUUGAGCUGCGGAAGAUUUUUAAAGUUGAAGUUGCACAUUUCGGAAAAGUUCUUGUCUAAUACUGAUGUAAGUAACAAAAUCUUGUAAACGUUAAACACUCAUGAGGUAUUUUAACAUAUAAGUCGCAUACUAUUUCAGCAUCUUUCUAUACUGGGAAAUCUGUUAAACACACAUGUGACCUUUUGUGGUGUUGUGGUUCACUGCUCUUACUGGUGCCCAACUCUGGCCUUCUCUUGGAAACAAUGUUCUUAGACAUAAAGUUCCAGUUGGGAACAUUCUCUGAGAGAUGCAAAGCUCGGUUUCAAGGACUUAGAGGUGAUCCUUGUUGGUAGAUCCGCAUGUAUCCCAGCUGUUCAGGAGCUUGUGAAAUCAUCGACUGGUAAAGACCCAAAUGUCACUGUGAAUCAUGGUGAAGUAGCUGCUCUUGGUACAGCGGUUCUGGCUGUUCUUUUUGUCUGGAGAUGUAAGUACAUUGUUCUCACGAAUGUCUCACCAUGGCUCGUGUUGGAAACACUUUCUGCAGUUCAUGUCAUUUACAACCCAUUCCUUAUCACAAUUCAUUCUUAAUCAUGUGAGUGACAAUGCGAUUCCAUGAUGAAUGCUGGCUUGCUUAAUUGAUUUUUGAUUUUCUGAACAAUAGGCUGGUGCUUUAUCUGGGGAUAACUAAGUGACAUUGUUCUCCUGGAUGUCCAUUGUCUCUUGUUUUGGAACCAUUUUGGAGGUAUGGUAGCUAAGAUCAUCCCAAGGAACCCCCAUUGCCGACCUCAAAAAUUAGAGGUGUUCUUUACAGGUGCAGAUGGACAAGUACUGAGAUAAAAGUACUACAGGGAGAAAAGAAGUUUGUGAGAGACAACAAGUCUCUCGGAUGCCUCCGUUUAGAUGGUAUUCCGCUGGCCCCAAGUAUGUUUUUCUUUGACUAUUCUCUUCCGUAAACAUUAUUAAUUGCCAAUUGCACCAUCCCAAAUUCCAAGGCUAGAUAUUUGAGGUCUUUCUGGUAUGAAAGAUGCCAAUUUGUAGAAAUUGCUAAGCGGUUACCUGUUUGCUGUCAACUAGUGUUUGCCAGCAUUAGUUGUCCAAACUCUCCAUUCCUUCAAUAGUGAAGUCGGUGGGCUUCUUUUUCUGCAGUACUUCUUCUUUUUAACAUCUUAUGUAUUCGCAUGCAUGUUGAUCAUCUGAGACGAUUUUGUUUGAGCUUGUAAUAACUUUCCUUGAUCGUAUUGCUCAAGUCUGAUUUUGUGAUAUCCUUUUAACUGUUUAUUUGUGGUUGUACCAAUUAAGAGCCAAAGUCAGAAAAGCUAGCUGGUCAAGCUUGGAUGCUGAGAAUAUUAUCUUUGUUUGUUUGGUAACUGUUUGCUGAUGUGUUGCCUUUCAAUGCUAAAAUAGCCGCCUUCUCUUCCAAGUUCGUUGUGCGUUGCUUGCUUUGUAAUUCUGGAGUGCAGAAACUUAUAAAAUGUCCUUUAGCGAGAGUUGUUUGAUUCAAUUUAGGAAUUCCUUGUCCUUAUAGCAAUAACUUUUU
This is a long non-coding RNA of Papaver somniferum (opium poppy), 2526 nucleotides long. RefSeq lists it as uncharacterized. The record is from RefSeq and is a predicted model, not a curated record. Lineage: Eukaryota; Viridiplantae; Streptophyta; Magnoliopsida; Ranunculales; Papaveraceae. The transcript has 4 exons.